CGUAAAAUGGCUGAGCAAGCAUUAGAAUGUAAAUCUAAAGACAGAGGUCGAGGCCUCUUUUUACCA
Callithrix jacchus (white-tufted-ear marmoset) is the source of this 66-nucleotide non-coding RNA. The record is from Rfam. NCBI's taxonomy places the organism in Eukaryota, Metazoa, Chordata, Mammalia, Primates, Cebidae.